AUCGCUAGUAAUGGCGCAUCAGCUACGGCGCCGUGAAUACGUUCCCGGGCCUUGUACACACCGCCCGUCACAUCAUGGAAGUCGCUUGUAGCCGAAGCCGGCGCGCUAACCCGCAAGGGAGGCAGCUUUCUACGCUAUGAGCGGUAACUGGGAUGAAGUCGUAACAAGGUAGCCGUAGGGGAACCUGCGGCUGGAUCACCUCCUUUCUAAGG
RNAcentral lists this ribosomal RNA (212 nucleotides) under Verrucomicrobiota bacterium. Its description in RNAcentral is "Verrucomicrobia bacterium partial 16S ribosomal RNA". It matches the Rfam family "Bacterial small subunit ribosomal RNA", at positions 1331 to 1533 of the family's 1533-position model. The record is from RNAcentral. Lineage: Bacteria; Pseudomonadati; Verrucomicrobiota.